UGUCCACAUGUUAUGAUGAAUGCUCAAAGUCAAAUCUGAAGAGACCCGCCCGAAGGCUGUCUGGCCCUGAGACCCACUCGUAGGCUGUCUGGCCGGUGCCGAGCCUAAUGGCCCCGUGGUAGUCAACAUCCCCACCCUAGGGAUGAGCCUACCCCACGGCAAUCCAUUUCGGCGCCCAAUCCCGCACGGCGAGUAUGUAUCGCGAUGGCUAUCUCCGGAGUGCCGGCUUGUAGGGAGCGACCCUCACAAGCAUGUGCGAAUGAGCACAAUGGCAAGUAGCAUAAGAUCCGUCUCAAGUACCAAGUCCUCAUGUCUA
This 316-nucleotide long non-coding RNA is filed under the name Ananas comosus (pineapple). RNAcentral's name for it is "long non-coding RNA (ACOM_LNC044642)". The record is from RNAcentral. Lineage: Eukaryota; Viridiplantae; Streptophyta; Magnoliopsida; Poales; Bromeliaceae.